This 21-nucleotide non-coding RNA is filed under the name Mus musculus (house mouse). Lineage: Eukaryota; Metazoa; Chordata; Mammalia; Rodentia; Muridae. The record is from RNAcentral.
UCCCAUGUGGAGGGACUUGGA